GGCAUAAGCUCAGUGAUAGAGCCCAUGCCUAGCAUGCAUGAGGGGCUGGGUUCAAUCCCCAGUACUGCCA
Molecule: transfer RNA, 70 nt
Filed under: Camelus bactrianus (Bactrian camel)
Lineage: Eukaryota; Metazoa; Chordata; Mammalia; Artiodactyla; Camelidae
Also listed under: 2 other names
Rfam family: tRNA
About the family: Transfer RNA (tRNA) molecules are approximately 80 nucleotides in length. Their secondary structure includes four short double-helical elements and three loops (D, anti-codon, and T loops).
Source: Rfam by way of RNAcentral